CCUGAGUCCACUUCUGUUCUCGCUGCAGUCAACAAGCUCUCUCCAAAAUGGUUUCUCGUGUCGUGUUCGCCUGCUUGGUCGUCCUUCUGCUGGCUGCUUGCGCCUUGGCCUUCCCUGACCCGAGCGGAGGAUACCCAGUCCGCACCCAUGGAUUUGGACCCGGAUACGGACACGUAGGGCACGGACAUGGGUAUGGGAGCCACCCUGUACAGACUUUAACCCUAGGCGGUUAUGGUAACGGAUACGGACACAGGCCGACGUACUAGUGAGAGUUAGAUGCUGUCCUUGGAUUCUGCCUCCAGUAACACGAUGGGAAAAAGAUUUUAGCAAAAUAAUGAACGAGGGUCAAACAACCAGCUCUUUCUCCUCCUUUCUCUUACAGUCUGUCUAAUUGGUCUCUGUCUUGUUUACAAUAAAAGUUGGAUUUUCCUUCA
Penaeus indicus is the source of this 434-nucleotide long non-coding RNA. RefSeq lists it as uncharacterized. The record is from RefSeq and is a predicted model, not a curated record. The transcript is spliced from 3 exons. Lineage: Eukaryota; Metazoa; Arthropoda; Malacostraca; Decapoda; Penaeidae.